Molecule: ribosomal RNA, 344 nt
Filed under: uncultured fungus
Lineage: Eukaryota; Fungi
Description: SSU rRNA
Rfam family: Eukaryotic small subunit ribosomal RNA
Source: RNAcentral
GGUUCAUUCAAAUUUCUUCCCUAUCAACUUUCGAUGCGAGGGUAUUGUCCUCGCAUGGUUACAACGGGUAACGGAGGGUUAGGGCUCGACCCCGGAGAAGGAGCCUGAGAAACGGCUACUACAUCUAAGGAAGGCAGCAGGCGCGCAAAUUACCCAAUCCCGACCGGGGAGGUAGUGACAAUAAAUACUGAUACAGGGCUCCUUUGGGUCUUGUAAUCGGAAUGAGUACAAUUUAAAUCUCUUAACGAGUAACAAUUGGAGGGCAAGUCUGGUGCCAGCAGCCGCGGUAAUUCCAGCUCCAAUAGCGUAUAUUAAAGUUGUUGUGGUUAAAAAGCUCGUAGUUG